RNAcentral lists this ribosomal RNA (443 nucleotides) under uncultured bacterium. RNAcentral's name for it is "partial 16S ribosomal RNA". It matches the Rfam family "Bacterial small subunit ribosomal RNA", at positions 338 to 795 of the family's 1533-position model. The record is from RNAcentral.
CCUACGGGUGGCAGCAGUGGGGAAUAUUGGGCAAUGGGCGCAAGCCUGACCCAGCAACGCCGCGUGAAGGAAGAAGGCUUUCGGGUUGUAAACUUCUUUUGUCAGGGACGAAGCAAGUGACGGUACCUGACUAAUAAGCCACGGCUAACUACGUGCCAGCAGCGGCGGUAAUACGUAGGUGGCAAGCGUUAUCCGGAUUUACUGGGUGUAAGGGGCGUGUAGGCGGGGAAGCAAGGCAGAGGGGAAAACCACGGGCUCAACCUGUGGCCUGCAUUUGAAACUGUUUUUCUUGAGUGCUGGAGAGGCAAUCGGAAUUCCGGGUGUAGCAGUGAAAUGCGUAGAUAUCGAGAGGAACACUCGUGGCGAAGGCGGGUUACUGGACAGUAACUGACGCUGAGGCACGAAGGCCAGGGGAGCGAAAGGGAUUAGAUACCCUUGUAGUC